Molecule: non-coding RNA, 1223 nt
Organism: Peromyscus maniculatus bairdii (prairie deer mouse)
Lineage: Eukaryota; Metazoa; Chordata; Mammalia; Rodentia; Cricetidae
Source: RefSeq, a predicted model, not a curated record
GUUCUAGCCUAAUACAAGACUAUAUGCGAAGGAAUGGUUAUCAAACAUUGUUCAGGAAUAAUGAGGGAUAAUGACCUAGAUAAGAUGGAACUACAACCUGAUGACAUGCUAUUACAGAGCGAGCAUUUCACCUGUAUCCACAAGAUCUGGCUUUCUAGUUCAUUCUUUCACCUCUCUGUAUUUCUUCCCUACUCCCAAGUCUUCUAUUCAUAAAAUGGAGCUAUGACAGGUGGCUUUUCCUGCCUUGUAAGGGUGUGUGAUGUAAUACAGUGCUGCAGUAUGGUCAUGCCCUCUUUUACAGGUCUCAUCAUUUGAAAGGAAGGGUGGUUGGUACUGUUACGGGGGUUCACUCAUGGUCACCUAAUCCUGCUUUUAGCCUGUCUUGCCCUUCAAGACUGGGAAGCUGGAGAGCAAGCCUGGCUGGCCGAUGUUGGGAACCUGCAGUGAUAUUUCUGGCCACCAGGUGUCAGCCUCAGCCUUGUAAUGUAGAGUAUGACCUCUACAGGUUAUAAAUCAGACAAUUUCUACUAAUUCCAGUCCUGGUUCCCAGCAGUGAGCCUGGUUUCUCUGGAUUCCUAGUACCUGUUCAAACAGUUCCUGGCAUCAACACUGGAGGCUAUCACAACCAUCCAUCUUGGCCUUCGUUUCCAGGUUCCUGAUCUGAGCAGCUGCUGCUGAUGUCCUGGCUCUCCACCUUGCAGAUGGCCACUGUGGCAUUGUCCCGAUUCAAGUCAUGGAACCACUACAAGGUGAAGGACCUCCUUUGUCACGUAUCCCUGUUGCCAUGAUAUUAUGCCUUAGCACAUGGAGCCGUGUGACAAUGGAUGGAACCACCCGAAAUCAUGAUCCAGACAAACCCUUCCUUCCUUGGUGCUUUGUCAUGGGCACACAAAAUCUAAUGCAAGCUGUCGAUGAAUGCUCCAAGGUGAUGGAGGAUAGGAGGAGGUCGCGAUAAAGGUCAGGAAGACCUAAUGCUCCAGUUGACCUCGGUCGUAGUGAAAGGAGAGGAAGAAUUAGGGUGGAAGCCAUGGGAGAGCCUAGGAAGAGACCGCGGUGCACACGGGGAGGCAAGUACCAAUGUCUACGUUCAGCUUCCACUCCAACACUGACAGUAUUUGGUUAGUGUGGGUGGAGAGAGGCGGCUGUGUAUGCAUGUGUAUGUGUAAAGUAUGGAAGUGUGUGUGUGUGUGUGUGUGUGUGUGUGUGUGUGUGUGUUCCUGUGU